UACGAAGGGGGCUAGCGUUGUUCGGAAUUACUGGGCGUAAAGCGCGCGCAGGCGGUCUUCCAAGUCAGUGGUGAAAGCCCGGAGCUCAACUCCGGAACUGCCAUUGAAACUGUUAGACUUGAGGAUGAGAGAGGUGAGUGGAAUUCCGAGUGUAGAGGUGAAAUUCGUAGAUAUUCGGAAGAACACCAGUGGCGAAGGCGGGUCUCUGGGCAGUAACUGACGCUGAGGAGCGAAAGUGUGGGGAGCGAACAGG
This 253-nucleotide ribosomal RNA is filed under the name uncultured bacterium. Its description in RNAcentral is "partial 16S ribosomal RNA". It matches the Rfam family "Bacterial small subunit ribosomal RNA", at positions 524 to 776 of the family's 1533-position model. The record is from RNAcentral.